Molecule: ribosomal RNA, 459 nt
Filed under: uncultured bacterium
Lineage: Bacteria
Description: partial 16S ribosomal RNA
Rfam family: Bacterial small subunit ribosomal RNA
Source: RNAcentral
CCUACGGGUGGCAGCAGUGAGGAAUAUUGGUCAAUGGGCGCGAGCCUGAACCAGCCAAGUAGCGUGAAGGAUGACUGACCUACGGGUUGUAAACUUCAUUUAUAAAGGAAUAAAGUGAGGCUCGUUUGCCAUUUUGUAUGUGCUUUAUGAAUGAGGAUCGGCUAACUCCGUGCCAGCAGCCGCGGGAAUACGGAGGAUGCGAGCGGUAUCCGGAUUACUUGGGGUUAAAGGGGGCGGAGGCGGAAUUUUAAGUCAGAGGUAAAAUGUCCGGGCUCAACCCGGGACGGCCGUUGAAACUGGGGAUCUUGAGUGGGCGAGAAGUAUGCGGAAUGCGUGGUGUAGCGGUGAAAUGCAUAGAUAUCACGCAGAACUCCGAUUGCGAAGGCAGCAUACCGGCGACCGACUGACGCUGAGGCACGAAAGCGUGGGGAUCGAACAGGAUUAGAUACCCGAGUAGUC